UGUAAGCUUGAAUUCUCCUCUUUUGAUUUAACUAAACCUACGAAUAGUCCUCUACCGAGAUAAUCGCAAAACGGUUAAGAAGUGCCAGUGACUUAAGCGCCACCCUCCUAGGAGAGGUCACUGGACCUUUUGAACGCCCGGCAAAGACUCUUAAACUUUGGGCGGGUGCGAUAUUUCCCAAUUUCACUCCAAUCUACGGUAUGUCGCUAUAUCCAGAAGGCUAGACUCCCUCAAAAAAACUCCGCGGGUUGGUUCGAUAUCAUUUAAACAAAAGAUGAUUGUUAGGUUCUAAAAGGUUUUUCAUUUUCGACAUUUUUUUAUUCAGAUCUAAAUAAGCCGACACCGUCAGUGAGCGAAAGAUAAUACUAUGUCUAACUAAUGGCGCCAAACUUCUAUCUCCUAUCUUUUAAUGUUUCUAAGAGUGCGUAAUAAUAGUAGGAACGUUCUUACUUGGCUAGCCGGCCGGCGAUGAUGAUGUAGUCUAUCCAGCGGCGGUUGUGGUUAGUUGUCCUUCGGGUGGCGGUAGUUUGUUCGCUUUGUCGAGUCGAUCAACUAGGUGGCCGCACCGACGACCGGGAGUAAUUACGGCCGUGUCCUAGGGGUAGAUGUGUCCCCGGCAGUUUUGGUAGAGAUCUUACGGCUUGCCCUCUAGCGAUUCGACUCGAAUUAAAGUCUCGUGUUCUUCACCCGGAAUUUGUACCCACGUUGGAUGGGUAUAGUCACCUAUUCAACGUGCACUCUUGUUACUAACGCACUUCAUAAUAUCUCAAAAAUGGCUUACCUGAUAGUAUCAAACUUCGCUCACUUUAUAUAUAAAUAACCGCCAAAUCACUGAAUUUUCUAACAAAUCUAGGUCAUUUAAAAAAAACUAGUUAGAACCUUUUUUUAUAUUUAAAAAUUUAAAUAGUUUUGCCUUACUUUAUACAGUAAGUAUUUCACGCGCACUGCGAACUUAGAAACAAUUACCGACUGCUCGAACACAACUAAUCUCGAUAAAGAUCUCCACCAAAGUGGCUUUCAACCUGAUCUUAUGCAAUCUCCGCGGUAGCACAUGCCUUACACGCGCUUCAAUCUGAUUGGUCGUAAUUCUACCCAAUUGUUUCUUUUGUAGCAUUAUUAAUUGUUUAAUUCUUCGAUCCCCCCUAGAUUAGAGUGAGUGGGAAGGAUAUACGCACGCAUGUAGGCUUUUUGUUGAACCGGACACACAUUCUAGUUCCGCUGUCGCCCGCUAGGAUCUUAAGUUUAUGAACUGUUAUACAGUAGGGCAACGACCCACCUACUGUACCAAUGAGAUGGAACAAAUUGAUUUGUUACAUUCGCUCAUGCUAAAUUCUGGAAAUAGUUUUUACUAUUUUUUUUAAUGGUAUUUGAUCAACCUGAAGUUUGUGCUAAGAUAAAUAAGUACAGACACUUCUUUCUUUGUCGUGCAAAUAUCUCGGUAUAACGUUCAUCUAUUGUCAAUUGGUGUUGGUGUGGGGUUUUCGAAUCUCUCAUUCAUUCUUACUACUCGUUUACUCAAUCCCUAUUCAUUCCAUUUGUCAGCGAUCGCGUUGACAAUUUCCCUCUACUUAUCAAGAGGACCUAUGCACGAACUAUCGCACGAUCUUAACUUCACAUGGUUGUGAAACAUCCUAUCAAGACUUAUUAAAAUUACUCCAUAGAUCUAUGGACAAUUUCUCUACAGACUUAUUUACUUCACAAUUUAGUGAAUUGAAAUUAUUCUUUUAUCAUUAAUACCUCAGUCACAUUCUCGUACAUUCACUCUAUAUGAUUCGAACACUUAGGCUAUUGUUACGGUGAUGCUUACUUCAAGACGCAAAAGGAAAAUUGACAUUUCUGUCAAAACCACUUGACUUAUUAGAAUUGAUGGAGUGGAUGACAGUAUGAUAUAGAUUGUGGAUGUACGAACAUUUUCACGGGACAUCGUGAUAUUCAAUACUGGUUUCUGUUAUUUAUUUUGCGUGGUCUAUGUUAUUUAUUUACGUUCUGGAUGGAAGCUUUUGGACGUAUGGAUGACGGGUAUGUUUUGCGGGUAAGUAUUUGGCUUCCAAAUAUCGGGGAUAUUAACGGCGAAUACCGAAUACAUUUAAUACAUGUAACAAGACGCUAAUGUUAACCUCAACAUCCGGUUUACCAAUUGGACGAGCAUUUAAUUACGACUAUGUUCAACAAUAUUAUGUUAAUAUACUAUGGCCAAUGCGUGCAUUUAGAUUCUGUUAUGGAUUAUGUACGAGUUCCGUUCAUACCGACAUAUCUCUGUACAAGUAAGCUUUAGGCUUUCUUGAGGAACGAGGCAUGAUAAAUUCCAGGGAUUCGUUUACCAGAUAGGUCUUCUAGAGCAAAUGUAUUAGACCCGAUAUUUGUCCUUAUUCGAACCUUAGUAAACUUGUUUGCAAAUUUUCCAACAAAAUUUUUACUUUUAUCUGACAGGUUUAUAUUUUUUUUGUAAACGAUCUCUCCUUCUACAAAUUUGCGAUUAGGGUUAGAUCGUAGGUUGUAAUAAUAAGAAUAUUUGUUAUACGCGUUCUUCACAUUGUGUUGUACACUUUCCAGGAGCUUUUUCUGGUCUUCUUUUGAUUGGGAAAGUUUUUUAUCGGCGGUUUCCAUGAUAUUCUCGUACUCUUUACCGCUGCUGAUCAUAUUUCUCUCGAAGUUAAGAAAAUAAGGAGUAAACCCCGUCGAGUCGUGCACUGUCGUUCGAAUUGCCAUCGCAAUUUGGUUAAUAUCUUCAUCACAUUCUCUAUGCGAGCUCUUCGUGUUCAACGAACACCGAAUCGCGGUAACAAUGACUCGGUUGACGCGUUCAGUAGGGUUUGGCCCAGGGUGAUACACAGCCAAGUUCCAAUGGUUAACUUGGUAAGUUUUCAAUAAAUUCUCAAAUGUUUUGGAUGUAAACACCGCAGCAAUGUCUGUUAUACAAAUUGACGGAACCCCAAAUACUAAGAAGACCAUGUUUUCCAAGAAUGCGCAUACUGCAGGUGAUGUGGCCGAUCGCAUGCACUGAAUCAUAACGAAUUUAGAAAAGAAAUCGGAUACCACCAAACACCACAUGUUGCCUUUCUUGGAGCGUGGGUAUGGGCCAAUGAAAUCUAAUGAGAUCAUUUCCCACGGCCGAGAGCAUAACUUCCUUUUACCACAUGGUGGGGUAACGUUAACGUUAUCGAUUUUCGAUUCCUUACAGACCUCGCAUGUACUACACACACGUUCAACGUCAGACCUCAUUUUCGGCCAAUAAUAUUUCUCUCGAAUUUUUUGGAGUGUUUUCGCAUAUCCAAGGUGUGCUUCUUGAUGAGUGAUUCUAAUUAUGUUUCGUCGCUCUACUGCAGGUACAACAUAUUUCCACCUAAAACCCGUAUCGUCUAACCCGGUUGUAUUCGUAAUGAACUUAUACACUUUGCCAUCUACAACUUUAAAAUCUUUGUAGCGCUCAGGGUGCUUCACGAUUUGGUCGCGUAGGCCUGUUAUGUAUGCAUCAGGUGUAUCCAUCAAUAUAGAAUUAACCCCCCUUGACAAGAAAUCGGCUGACAGGUUUUCUGAACCCUUCUUGUAUUCGAAUGAUGCAUCGUAUUUCGACAAUUUGAGGGCCCAUCUUGCAAUUCGAGGAGACUUAGAUUCAAUGGACAUAGAUCGUAAGAAGGUCAAGCUCAUGGCAUCCGUCUGUACCACGAAAUGUGUUCCCUCUAUAAAGUGUCUGAAAUUUUCAAUACUUAGCAAGACUGCUAAACAUUCUCGUUCAGUGGCACUAUACCGCCUUUGGGUACUCGAUAGCUUUUUGGAAAAAUAGGCUAGACAUUUGCGUUCUCCCUUUUGAAUUUGGGUCAACACAGCUCCAAUAGCUUGGUCUGAACUAUCGGUUUCUAUAAUGAACGGUAAAUCAAAAUCAGGGUUGGAUAGGAUCGGUGCGGACACUAACGCGGACUUUAGUCUACGAAGAGCGCGUUCCGCUUUAUCAGUUCAUGUAAUCGUUUUCCCCUUUUUUAAUAGAUCUGAUAUCGGAGCGGUGAUGUCCGAAUAAUUAGGCAGAAAUUUUUGAUAAAAUCCAGCUAGUCCCAAGAGUCUACGAAUAUCCUUAACCGUUUUCGGGGUAGGGUACUCGAGGACUGGUUGUAGUUUCGAAGGAUCGAUUGACAAUCCGUUCUCUGACAAUAUGUAGCCUAAAUAUUUAAUCUUUUUUGACAGAAAUUAGAUUUUUGUAUAUUUAUCGUGAGUCCAGCAGCACGGAAUCUAUCGGCGAUUAUUUCCAAGAGACGUAUGUGGGUAGCGAAAUCUUUUGUCGCCACAAUCGUAUCGUCUAGAUAUGUGUACACGUAAGGUUCUAAAUCGCGGCCCAACACUUUCGUCAUCAGACGUGCCAUCGCGGCGGGUGCGUUUGUCAAUCCGAACGGCAUUACAGUAAACCUAUAGAGUCCUUUAUUCGUUCGGAAAGCUGUUUUAUUUUUAGAGUUUUCUUCUAGAGGGACCUGAAAAUAUGAUUCGGAGAGGUCAAUUAUCGAGAAAAAUUUUGAUUCUUUUAUGCGGUGAAGUAUAUUCGUCAUA
Long non-coding RNA from Malaya genurostris, 4536 nucleotides. RefSeq lists it as uncharacterized. The record is from RefSeq and is a predicted model, not a curated record. The transcript is spliced from 3 exons. Lineage: Eukaryota; Metazoa; Arthropoda; Insecta; Diptera; Culicidae.